RNAcentral lists this small nucleolar RNA (84 nucleotides) under Nelumbo nucifera (sacred lotus). RNAcentral's name for it is "Plant small nucleolar RNA R71". It matches the Rfam family "Plant small nucleolar RNA R71", at positions 1 to 84 of the family's 107-position model. Rfam says of the family: R71 is a member of the C/D box family of snoRNAs containing the C (UGAUGA) and D (CUGA) box motifs. Multiple nearly identical copies of this snoRNA have been identified in Arabidopsis, and it is thought to function as a 2'-O-ribose methylation guide for 18S ribosomal RNA. The record is from Rfam by way of RNAcentral. Lineage: Eukaryota; Viridiplantae; Streptophyta; Magnoliopsida; Proteales; Nelumbonaceae.
AUCCCAUGGUGAGGACACUUCCUAAGCAUCUCCUUGAAUCGUUCCCAUGCUUCAUACAAGGAUUCCCUCUCUAAUUGAGCAAAA